GACGAACGCUUGCGGCGUGCUUAACACAUGCAAGUCGAACGGAAAGGCCCUGCUUUUGUGGGGUGCUCGAGUGGCGAACGGGUGAGUAACACGUGAGUAACCUGCCCUUGACUUUGGGAUAACUUCAGGAAACUGGGGCUAGUACCGGAUAGGAGCUCCUGCUGCAUGGUGGGGGUUGGAAAGUUUCGGCGGUUGGGGAUGGACUCGCGGCUUAUCAGCUUGUUGGUGGGGUAGUGGCUUACCAAGGCUUUGACGGGUAGCCGGCCUGAGAGGGUGACCGGCCACAUUGGGACUGAGAUACGGCCCAGACUCCUACGGGAGGCAGCAGUGGGGAAUAUUGCACAAUGGGCGGAAGCCUGAUGCAGCAACGCCGCGUGCGGGAUGACGGCCUUCGGGUUGUAAACCGCUUUCGCCUGUGACGAAGCGUGAGUGACGGUAAUGGGUAAAGAAGCACCGGCUAACUACGUGCCAGCAGCCGCGGUGAUACGUAAGGUGCGAGCGUUGUCCGGAUUUAUUGGGCGUAAGGGCUCGUAGGUGGUUGAUCGCGUCGGAAGUGUAAUCUUGGGGCUUAACCCUGAGCGUGCUUUCGAUACGGGUUGACUUGAGGAAGGUAGGGGAGAAUGGAAUUCCUGGUGGAGCGGUGGAAUGCGCAGAUAUCAGGAGGAACACCAGUGGCGAAGGCGGUUCUCUGGGCCUUUCCUGACGCUGAGGAGCGAAAGCGUGGGGAGCGAACAGGCUUAGAUACCCUGGUAGUCCACGCUGUAAACGGUGGGUACUAGGUGUGGGGUCCAUUCCACGGGUUCCGUGCCGUAGCUAACGCUUUAAGUACCUCGCCUGGGGAGUACGGCCGCAAGGCUAAAACUCAAAGGAAUUGACGGGGCCCCGCACAAGCGGCGGAGCAUGCGGAUUAAUUCGAUGCAACGCGUAGAACCUUACCUGGGUUUGACAUGGAUCGGGAGUGCUCAGAGAUGGGUGUGCCUCUUUUGGGGUCGGUUCACAGGUGGUGCAUGGCUGUCGUCAGCUCGUGUCGUGAGAUGUUGGGUUAAGUCCCGCAACGAGCGCAACCCUUGUUCACUGUUGCCAGCACGUUAUGGUGGGGACUCAGUGGAGACCGCCGGGGUCAACUCGGAGGAAGGUGGGGAUGACGUCAAGCCAUCAUGCCCCUUAUGUCCAGGGCUUCACGCAUGCUACAAUGGCUGGUACAGAGAGUGGCGAGCCUGUGAGGGUGAGCGAAUCUCGGAAAGCCGGUCUCAGUUCGGAUUGGGGUCUGCAACUCGACCUCAUGAAGUCGGAGUCGCUAGUAAUCGCAGAUCAGCAACGCUGCGGUGAAUACGUUCCCGGG
RNAcentral lists this ribosomal RNA (1342 nucleotides) under uncultured bacterium. RNAcentral's name for it is "16S ribosomal RNA". It matches the Rfam family "Bacterial small subunit ribosomal RNA", at positions 28 to 1378 of the family's 1533-position model. The record is from RNAcentral.